CCAUUGCUAGCCACUUUACGUUCUUCCUUAGGCUGAGCUCCCUCCCCACUUUCUCCCCCAAAAUCUUCUUCAAACAUCCAAAACCAAACCCUGCAUGUCACACCUUUGGAUCCCUGGGGCUCUAGGUUUUCCAUCCAUCCAAAUAUCUUGCACAUGCAUGGCCAUUUGAGAGAGAUCGGGAAGGAGGAACAGCAAGGAGCUGCAGGCUGCGAGGUUGCAGCAGCUGGAUGACACGUUUCUUUUCUGUGUUGGUAAGUUCUUUCUACAUCCAUGGCUCCCUACUUGAGUUCCUAUAAUGCUAACAAUCCCUUAUUUCUCCCCCUCCCUAUGGGUCACCGAUUUAAAUCUUGAGAGCAAAGAGCAGCUACAAUUCAUAUAUCUCCACUCCAGCAACAAUAACCCAUGUUUCCUUUGAGUUCCUCUGUUUUGGUGAGUUCUCAUGUCUCUACCUCCUGUAGAUUUAUGUUCUUAGCUUUAGGAUCAAGUACUCACGGUGCUUUUGUCCUGCAAGUAGCGCAAGGUGAGUUUUGUAUUGUUCUUCCUUGUACUACUUGAUCGUGCUCUUUCUAUAUUGAUAGUUUGAUACCCUUCUCCGGUAAACCCGUGUACCAGGCACUGCAACCUCACCAAAUGUAGGAUAUAAAUGAGCUCACACCUAUCCUUCUGCAGCCAUCAGUGGAUCAUGGUGAUUUGCAUUAGUGAUCCAAGUUGUUGUUGAGUUUGUCGUCCCUAAGAAAAUUAGGGCCAGCCUGCUGCACCUCAUCCUUUGAUUCAGAUGUUUCGGAGUACGUGGAGCAAGAACCUGAGAUUGAGUCUGAUGAUCUGCAACAACAAGGUAAGGACUCUGGCGUAGAAUUGUUCUUCCUGUGUGGUUACUGUUAUGCCGGGGGCGGGGAGGGCAGUGUAUGAUCUUCUGCUAUCUUUAGCUUGGCUCUUGCCCGGUUGGUUUGCCCUUGUGGGGUUGUGGCACCACCGGCUUUUGUUUUGUACUUAUGGCUUUUGUUUGAAUCUUCCGCUGCUACUUGUGUGCUAUUGGAUGGGACGACCCUAUUCUGUACCAGAUACUUGCUGUACUUGACCCCUUUUUAUGCACUCGUGAUGAUGU
RNAcentral lists this small RNA (1105 nucleotides) under Oryza sativa Japonica Group (Japanese rice). Its description in RNAcentral is "sRNA Os10g0154401". Lineage: Eukaryota; Viridiplantae; Streptophyta; Magnoliopsida; Poales; Poaceae. The record is from RNAcentral.